UCUGGAUCGAUAAUGUAAACCUAUUGAAUCUAUAGAAUUACAUUAUUGAUCCAGAGA
Molecule: microRNA precursor, 57 nt
Filed under: Caenorhabditis elegans
Lineage: Eukaryota; Metazoa; Nematoda; Chromadorea; Rhabditida; Rhabditidae
Description: microRNA cel-mir-8201 precursor
Source: miRBase by way of RNAcentral